CCUACGGGUUGCAGCAGUGGGGAAUAUUGGACAAUGUGCGCAAGCCUGAUCCAGCCAUGCCGCGUGUGUGAAGAAGGCCUUUUGGUUGUAAAGCACUUUAAGCGAGGAGGAGGCUCCUUUAGUUAAUACCUAAAGUGAGUGGACGUUACUCGCAGAAUAAGCACCGGCUAACUCUGUGCCAGCAACCGCGGUAAUACAGAGGGUGCGAGCGUUAAUCGGAUUUACUGGGCGUAAAGCGUGCGUAGGCGGCUUUUUAAGUCGGAUGUGAAAUCCCUGAGCUUAACUUAGGAAUUGCAUUCGAUACUGGAAAGCUAGAGUGUGGGAGAGGAUGGUAGAAUUCCAGGUGUAGCGGUGAAAUGCGUAGAGAUCUGGAGGAAUACCGAUGGCGAAGGCAGCCAUCUGGCCUAAUACUGACGCUGAGGUACGGAAGCAUGGGGAGCAAACAGGAUUAGAUACCCGAGUAGUC
Molecule: ribosomal RNA, 466 nt
Filed under: uncultured bacterium
Lineage: Bacteria
Description: bacterial SSU rRNA
Rfam family: Bacterial small subunit ribosomal RNA
Source: RNAcentral